This 413-nucleotide ribosomal RNA is filed under the name uncultured Flavobacterium sp. Its description in RNAcentral is "bacterial SSU rRNA". It matches the Rfam family "Bacterial small subunit ribosomal RNA", at positions 9 to 425 of the family's 1533-position model. The record is from RNAcentral. Lineage: Bacteria; Pseudomonadati; Bacteroidota; Flavobacteriia; Flavobacteriales; Flavobacteriaceae.
GAGUUUGAUCCUGGCUCAGGAUGAACGCUAGCGGCAGGCCUAAUACAUGCAAGUCGAGGGGCAGCAGGGUAGCAAUAUCGCUGGCGACCGGCGCACGGGUGCGUAACACGUAUACAAUCUGCCUUUAACGGGGGGAUAGCCCGGAGAAAUCCGGAUUAAUACCCCAUAACACGAGAAACGGCAUCGUUUUUGUUAAAAGCUCCGGCGGUUAGAGAUGAGUAUGCGUCUGAUUAGCUAGUUGGUGAGGUAACGGCUCACCAAGGCGACGAUCAGUAGGGGAUCUGAGAGGAUUAACCCCCACACGGAUACUGAGACACGGAUCCGACUCCUACGGGAGGCAGCAGUAAGGAAUAUUGGACAAUGGGGGCAACCCUGAUCCAGCAAUGCCGCGUGAGUGAUGAAGGCCUCGGUUG